AUCAUACACCAACCAAAUCAACCUAAGAAAAUAAGCAUUUCUGUGAAUCAAUUACGGGCUAAGGAUGCAUUAGGAGUUCGAAUUAGAGUGGUACCUUCCGCGCCGCGACUUGGCGAGAGGGAAAAUCAUAGGUAGGAUUAGCGUAGGUAUUAUCAAGGUAAAGAACAUCAACCCCAUCUUCACCACCAAGAGCAGCACGAAGCACCUGUUUAGCCAUCCUGGCUCUCUCGCAACCAACCUCCCAGCGAAAAUCACCAGUGUGAAGCACGCAACCAAACUCGCCGCGAAACAGCAGCAUAACGGAACCUAAUCAAUCAAUAACAAACUAACUAACUAACGGAUCGUAACAAACUAAUCGGCGAACCGUAACUAACUAACUAACUAACUAACUAACUGACCGGGGCAGUGGCAGGCGUCGAUGGCGGUGACGAAGACGGUGGUGGUGGAGGAGGAGGAAGGGGAGCGGAGGGAGAGGGUGUGGGUGGUGCCGACGUGGAGGAUGCGGAGGAGGGAGAGGUCGAAGUCGGGGAACUUGAAGGGGAGGAGUUUGGCGGUGGUCGGGGAGCAGAAGAGGAGGCCAUGGGACCAGGAGGAAGAGAGGCCUUUGGUGUGAUCGGAGUGGAGGUGGGUGAGGAAGUAGGCUUGGCUUCCGGAUGCCCAGCGAUCCACAGAGACCAAACCCUUCUCCAUUUUCUGAUGGUGGUUGUUUAGCGGCGGUGGGGGAGAGGGGGGAAAGAGAGGGAGGGGAGGGGUGGGGUGGGAUUUUUUUUUUUCACUCUCUGCGGGACUUGAAAUUUGAGAAAGUGAUUCGCGCACAACCUCAUCUGCUUCCCAGGGUUUGGGAAAUCCGGUGGGUCAGUGUAAAAGUGAAUGGAGAAGAGAUUAUCAAUGGGGAAAUAAAGAAGGACAAUUUGGAGUUCAGUGUGUAAAAUAAAUUAAAAUUUAUAUAAUUGUUUUGAAAAUGUAUUAUUUAGGUUAAUUAUUUUAUGUCUAAAACUUGUUUAUUUAAAAAAAAAAAAAUUCAGAUAAAUCUUUCUUCCAAAGUUUAUACAAACGGUUCUUCGAGCGAGUGAUUAUGGGCAAAAGUAAGGUGAUGAACAUGGUGUCAUAGUGUAAAUUUACGACAUAUGAGAUAUCUUCAAAAGACAUUUUAGCGCUCAAAAUAAAAGAGAAUUUCAAAGUCUGGAAAAGCAAUAAGAGAGAAACAUGAGUUGUUUCUAUAGCUUAUACGCAAUCAAACAUUUAUAACAGUCAUCUAAUCAACUGUGUUGAAAGUUUACUUUUUACUAUCUGAUUAAUGAUCGAGCUCAAUGACCCCCUAAUGUGAUCCAGAUAACCGACCAUACUUAGUAAGGCGUUUCUUUGUUGUUCUUUGUAACAUUAAUACCCAUUCAUCAAUCAACAAUAAUAGCAAAUGAGUAACUUAUAUGCUAAGAUUAAUGCAGCUAAUUUAGGUGUAUUGUCUAAUCUCCGGUUCACCCCCACUGAUUCACACAAAUAUAGUCAAAUGACAGUUUAGUUCAUACAAGCUUCUUGGCACUGGUUCCUCCAACCUCAAACGAUACAUUACAUGAGAUUCUCUAACUUACCACAUGUGGUAGUAUCACAUAACCACAUCCUAGAUGGAUUAAUGUGUAAGAGGAUAAAUGUGUUGGAAAUUAAAUCCACUUCCAUAUUCAAUUUUUUAUAAACAAUAUUUUUAGCGAAACAAGCCUUACAUAGUUAUACUACACAAUUAAAUACAUCAAUAAAAAUAAGGAACAACUUAUUGUAACUUUGUCUUCAGGACUGGGUACUAGAGGAGCUGUUUCUUUUGGAAUGAGAAGAGUGUGUUGAGACAUUGCUCUUCACCUGCUGUGAACUCUUGGUAGAGACCGCAGGAUCUGAAUAAGUGAAGAAAACUACAUGCUCCUGGUUGUCAACCAAUGCUUGGAGUGUUCUUGGAAUUGGAGGCAAAGUCACAUCCAAAACCCCCUCAAGGAACUGAACAACCUGCCCCAUGGAAGGCCUGUGAGCUUCAUCAUCUUGAACACACCAUAUAGCAACUUUGAUGACUCUAGUAACCUCUUCAAUGCUGGCCUCUCCCUCCAACCUUGGAUCCACUAGUGUGAGCACAUUCCCUCCUUGGUGCACUGUGUUUGCAGCAAAAGUGGGAAAGAACUUAACUUGGCCAUCUUCAGAAGGAUCAGAGUUUCUCGUGCCAGACACAAGCUCAAAAAGCAUCAUACCAUAACUGUAUACAUCAGCUUUUGCAGUGAUAGCCACACCAGAGAUCCACUCUGGUGCAAGAUAGCCUAUUGUUCCUCUCAUGGUAGUGAGUACCCGGCUGAAGUCCCUUCCCACAAGCUUUGCAAGGCCAAAAUCUGCUACCUUUGGACAAAAAUCUGCAUCCAAAAGAAUGUUCUCUGGCUUCACAUCACAGUGUAUGAUACAGUCCCUGCAUUUCUCAUGAAGAUAAGCCAAUCCCCUUGCUGUUCCAAGAGAAAUUUGGUACCUCACUUUCCAACCCAACAUCACUUUGGAGUUUUCCUUCUUCUCCUGAAACAGGCAUGAAUCCAAGGAAGUGUUUGGCAUGUAAUCAUAAACCAGAAGUUUCUUAGCUCCUUCAGAACAGAACCCACGAAGCCUGACAAGGUUGACAUGUUGGACUGUCCCAAGUGUGCUCACUUCUGUUCUGAACUGCUUCUCACCUUGGCUAAUGCUUUCAAGCUUCUUUACUGCUACGACACUUGAAUCAGACAAUGUUCCUUUGAAGACAGAACCAAAACCUCCUUCUCCCAGUUUCUCUGAGAAAUUCUUUGUAGCCUGUCGCAAAUCUCUGUAAGCAAAUGCAGCCAAUGACCCCUCCAUCAUAAUUCUUGCUCCACCUCGUCUCAUUUUUCGCCUCAGCAGCACAAUUACAACAAGAGCUAGAAGAAUCGCCACAACACCACCACCAACAGCACCGAAAAUAACACCAAUGCUUAUCCCAUUGCUGCUCUUAGGAUCAUGAAACUCUGAUGCUGCAAGUUUGAGAAACAAAGUCUGUCCUGUACUAUCAUCCUGAGUAAGCUGUUGCAAAUUCAAGAGAUCCCCAUUCCAGAAUGAACAACCACUGCUGUUAAAAGCAUAAGCUUUGCAGGAACAGUUGCUAAAGCAAGUUGACUCACAUUCACCAACACUACCUGCUCCCACAAGUUCAGCAUGUUCAGGCAAAGCCAUGUUUGGCAUUGUUAAAAACAUGUCUUUUGCCCCAUUAGAGGAAUUGGAUGACUCACAUUGAAACUUUGUUGAUUUCACACACCCACCUGAGUAAUCUCCUAGAUCCCAAUCAGAUUGUGACUUUGGGUCAUAGCCAGUUACACAAUUACAAUAUGGCUGGGAUGUCUCAGUGCAGCUCGCAAAUGCACCACAAACAGCAUAAACCUCGCAUUGGCGCCUUGGCUGUGACCAGAACAAAUUCCAUUGCUGGGAAUCUUCCAGCCAAGUCAAUUCCUUGAUCUGCCCCGUGAAAUCCAUCACGAAACGAGACAGUAGGGAAGUGCCGUACACGUUGUAGGUGAAGUAGCUCUCGUUCUCAUUCGACACAAAGGUGAAAUUGUAAAAGUAUUUAAUAUUCAUCUCCGGAACCAAACUGAAAACAUUUCCAUUCCAAGGACCACUUGUCCAAUACUGUUCAGUUUUGUUCCAUAGAAUCAGAUAUGAAGUGGUUCCAUUGGGGUCCAGUUCCAGAGAGAAUUGCCCUGUUGCUGGAUCUUCAUAGUUCUUCCAUGAAGUCAGAUACUGAGGCUUCUUCGUUUUGUGGUCCAGUUUGAUUCUACCACCUGGAAGCCAUGUAUUUGUUGGAUGAUCAAAACUCUGCCACAGAGAUUCUGAUUCCGAUGCAUUAGGCUUGUUGCUUAAUAUCAGGUUCCCAUUACCUAGAAGCACAGCUUCUACAGAACCAGAGCUAGGAGAGCUCAAAUUUGUUGACCAAACUAGAUUCCAAUUCUCCAAGAGCACUAAAUUACCACGCAAUAUUGUUAACAUGGCAGAGUUCUUAUCAGAAACAGGGUCAUCUCUAUUUGCUACCCAAACAUAUGUUCUCCUAGACUGUUUUUUGUACCACAUGCCUAUGUAGUAUCUAGAGGAGUUACCUGGAUUGAAAAAACCCAGUUCAAAGUUUCCAUCUUUGGAGACAAGAGUUUGAUCACCAGAAAGAGAUCGAUUGGCUGAGAUGGUGGUCAAUGCAGCAAGGGAAGUGUAGGUGUGAAGGAAGAAGCAGGAGGUUAGAAGAGAAAGCCAGAAGAAACGUGGUUAUUCAUGUUGUUCAUGGCUUGGCUCUGCACUGCAACUGUCACAGAAACUAGGAUGUUAUAUAGAGUUUGAAAAAAUGAAUGGGAGAAAGGGUAUGACCCCGUCGUGACUAUUGUGCCCUCUUCCACAGAAAAACGUUGUACAGGUUAAGGCUAACAGGAGUUCACUGAACCUUGUUCUUAGGCAUUAUAAUUUAUAAUGGAUCCACUAUGGUUGGUGCAUACGUAUUUUUGUUAAUUUUCAGUUAUGACGUUCAUGUAAUCUUGAAUUUGUUAUAACGCAAAUGGAUUUGAGUCAUGUUGAAUAUUGAAACUAUUGUUUAUCUUGAAUUCUUGAUCCUUGAUCAACAGAAGAAUUUAUUGCUCUUGACUAAAUAUGUUUUACGGAACAUGGAAAAUAUAAAGAAAAGGUUAAUGUUUUGUUGACACUCCAAAUCAAACUACACCUCAAAGAAUUAAGAAGAAAUGAUGUGUGGCGUGAUAGGAAAAAUAGAGAGAUAAGAAGAUAAAGUGAGUGAAAAUAAGUAUAAAGAAAAAGUGAAGUUUGAAUGUAUAAAAAUGAAAAGAAAAUUAAAUUAUUAUCCAACAGAAGUGCAUUCUGGUCAUUUCAGAUGGUGCUAAUAAUUUAGCUCAUGUCUAUGUCAAACGGCUCAGCACAAAGUCAAGUCAUGGUUUUUCUUCACUCCGUUGAUUUUCCUCCUUGGGUUUAGGCAGUUUGAACUUUGAAGUUCAAAGUCAUCAACAAAAAAUUGAAGGAUGCCAUUAUCUCAGUGCCGCUAUUGUAGUCAAUUGAACUGGCAAUGGGCUCAUGAUUCUUUGUUAUGAGAGUAAUGCAACCAAUGUUUUAUGACAGCAGAUAUGAAUUAAUUCAAUAAUUCAAUUUGAUAUGAAUUAUUUGCAAAAUUAUUCUUAAAAACAGGAUUUAUUUUUAAUUUAUUAAUUAAUUAUUUCUCUUGAAAAAAUAAGUUUUUAAAGUUAUUUCUGACAAUAGAAGAAGUUCUUAAAUUAAAAAACGUAACGUCUUAACUUGAAAAAAUCAAUUUUCCAAAGCAAAAACACUUUUAGAAAAUCAAUUUCUAACAAGAAAAUGUUAUAUUUUAUCAAGCAAGAGUUAUUCAUGUCAUUACAAAGCAAUGAAGACUUCAAAUAAGAAAUAAUUCUAAACUCUAACGUAAUUAAACAGUUAAGCUGCCUAAAAAAAUUACAAUUUAGUGAGUAUAAUAUGAAAAAUUUAGGUGUAAUUAGUUUUAGUGAAAUAGAAUCCUAAAUAUGCAGCACAGUUAUAAAAGCCGAAGAGUUAUUGAAACUUUUAAUUUGUAAGAAGCACUACAGAAAGCAACCCAUUUUCUUACAAUUUAGCUGCCACAAGCCAAGUUUUAGUGUUCCCAUAUGCAAACUGGAAUCCAAAAUGUGUAUAAGAAACUCAUCCAAUUGCAUGCUGAUGAUCAACUAAUAGAGUCUUACAAUAUACAACUAUAACAAGUGCUUAGAUGAGAUUGGGAGUAUGUAGAUCAUACCUUCAACACUUCAGAAGCAGUGCAGAACUUUAUGCGUACACAUCAUCUUUGACCACCUAUGGCAUUUAAUUUCCAACAAUUUCAGGACUGUCAAUGUCCACAAUCUUCACACCACGGCGCUUUCUUAUCAAUACAUUCAACCUCCUCUUAUGAACGCCUAAAAGCUUAAACCUCGAGGUCCUGCUUCCGUAUCUAAGCAACUUAACAUGACCUCCGAGUGAAGUUUCAGGGCUUACUGUUCCUACCCUUUUACCACUGUCUUUCACUUCAGACCUGUUAUGCAACUCUUGUUUUGGUUGGUUAACACGACAAAGCCGACCAAAAAAGUACAUGGGCUCAAUGUAGCAUUCGGAUGCAGAAACAAUGCCCUUGAUGCUGGUUGGUUUGGCAAGCUUGAUAAAAUCCUCAAUCUCGAAAUAAUUAGAGUGUUCAGAGUAGGGAACUGCAUACAUAUGCUGAUGAAUCUGUUCAAGAGGUCCUGUGUUUCCAAUUGGCUUGUCACUCUGGUCCUUACUAUUUUCACUCCAUUUGUCUCUCUUAUAACGUGAUGUCAAAAAGGAACCAGUGAGAAACUCACCCCUCUGAAUGUAUUUCCUUGCCCAUGGAAGACCAGAUGGCAAAAUUCCUAUAGUAGGGCGCCUUUGAUUCAGUGUCUCUAAAGUGUUAAUCUUUAAGCUACAUUGAGGAACAACUCUAACUCUAGUAAUAGUCGUGUCGGUUGUGAAUACAUCUGGGAGACCAAGAAUACGCAUAGUCCGCAAGCGCUCCGGCCACACACAAACCUUCAAUUGAAAAAACAAGAAAACCAGUGAAAUUGUGAAAAACUAACCAUUGAAUGCAAUAAAAUGGUAAGUCCAAAUAUAGCAACCAAAAAGAAAAAGCAAAAUCCUGUAUGAGAUCAAAACAUUACAAUAUAAUGCACAGAUAAAACAUAACACUCAAACCAAGCAUGUUCUGAUCAUAUGCUUCAUUUCUAAUGAUAUCAUCUACAGUUACAUAUACUAAGGUUGAAAUAAUAAAGCAUUAAUCUUCAGAGCAUAUUCGGAUGAACUACUUGAUAAGCACUAAUAAGGAAAAGAAGUUGAAACUAUCUUACAAUAACUAUGAUCCUUCUACAUAAUUGCUGCAUAAGUUAAAACCAAGUGUUACAAUUCAACUUUUGAAACUCUUCCUUAUCUAGAUUAUUCAUACUUAUCUCAAUUGAGAAGCUCUCACAGGUUAAAAGCCAGUCCAAACUGGGCCUUACAGACAUAAAAUAGGAAGAUCUAACUAGACUUAAUGGCAUGAAUUUUUCGCCAUUAUCCUCACAUAUCAUGAUAUCACAUAGAAGAAAACAACACAGGGACUAUUAGCAUGAUAAUAAUGACUUGAUUUUUUUGAACAGCUAAAGAAUGGUUCUGAAGAGACCUUAAUGUUAAGCUCCAUUGCAAUCUGAACCAAGAGAUCUUCUUUCCCCAAACUGUUAAUCCCAAUAAUGACAUCAUGAUCAGGAAGGGACUUAACUAAAUCAAUCACCUGAAAUCAUACACCAACCAAAUCAACCUAAGAAAAUAAGCAUUUCUGUGAAUCAAUUACGGGCUAAGGAUGCAUUAGGAGUUCGAAUUAGAGUGGUACCUUCCGCGCCGCGACUUGGCGAGAGGGAAAAUCAUAGGUAGGAUUAGCGUAGGUAUUAUCAAGGUAAAGAACAUCAACCCCAUCUUCACCACCAAGAGCAGCACGAAGCACCUGUUUAGCCAUCCUGGCUCUCUCGCAACCAAC
This 7549-nucleotide long non-coding RNA is filed under the name Lotus japonicus. Its description in RNAcentral is "long non-coding RNA (LJAP_LNC001679)". The record is from RNAcentral. Lineage: Eukaryota; Viridiplantae; Streptophyta; Magnoliopsida; Fabales; Fabaceae.